GCCGGGAUGGUGGAAUAGGUAGACACAAGGGACUUAAAAUCCCUCGGCUGUAUAAGCCAUGCCGGUUCGAUUCCGGUUCCCGGCA
RNAcentral lists this transfer RNA (85 nucleotides) under Treponemataceae bacterium. Its description in RNAcentral is "tRNA-Leu". It matches the Rfam family "tRNA". Rfam says of the family: Transfer RNA (tRNA) molecules are approximately 80 nucleotides in length. Their secondary structure includes four short double-helical elements and three loops (D, anti-codon, and T loops). Further hydrogen bonds mediate the characteristic L-shaped molecular structure. tRNAs have two regions of fundamental functional importance: the anti-codon, which is responsible for specific mRNA codon recognition, and the 3' end, to which the tRNAs corresponding amino acid is attached (by aminoacyl-tRNA synthetases). tRNAs cope with the degeneracy of the genetic code in two manners: having more than one tRNA (with a specific anti-codon) for a particular amino acid; and 'wobble' base-pairing, i.e. permitting non-standard base-pairing at the 3rd anti-codon position. Lineage: Bacteria; Pseudomonadati; Spirochaetota; Spirochaetia; Treponematales; Treponemataceae. The record is from RNAcentral.